This 574-nucleotide ribosomal RNA is filed under the name uncultured fungus. RNAcentral describes it as "eukaryotic LSU rRNA". The stretch from base 212 to 365 matches the Rfam family "5.8S ribosomal RNA". Lineage: Eukaryota; Fungi. The record is from RNAcentral.
AAGUCGUAACAAGGUCUCCGUAGGUGAACCUGCGGAGGGAUCAUUACACAAAUAUGAAGGCGGGCUGGAACCUCUCGGGGUUACAGCCUUGCUGAAUUAUUCACCCUUGUCUUUUGCGUACUUCUUGUUUCCUUGGUGGGUUCGCCCACCACUAGGACAAACAUAAACCUUUUGUAAUUGCAAUCAGCGUCAGUAACAAAUUAAUAAUUACAACUUUCAACAACGGAUCUCUUGGUUCUGGCUUCGAUGAAGAACGCAGCGAAAUGCGAUAAGUAGUGUGAAUUGCAGAAUUCAGUGAAUCAUCGAAUCUUUGAACGCACAUUGCGCCCUUUGGUAUUCCAAAGGGCAUGCCUGUUCGAGCGUCAUUUGUACCCUCAAGCUUUGCUUGGUGUUGGGCGUCUUGUCUCUAGCUUUGCUGGAGACUCGCCUUAAAGUAAUUGGCAGCCGGCCUACUGGUUUCGGAGCGCAGCACAAGUCGCACUCUCUAUCAGCAAAGGUCUAGCAUCCAUUAAGCCUUUUUUUCAACUUUUGACCUCGGAUCAGGUAGGGAUACCCGCUGAACUUAAGCAUAUCA